GGUACGCCGUCGCCGGGGUCUUCGUCGCCCGCGUUGACGGGGCGGUUCGCGUCGCCGUCACCGGUGCCGGGCCGGGGGUGUUCCG
RNAcentral lists this transfer RNA (85 nucleotides) under Alphaproteobacteria bacterium MarineAlpha3_Bin3. RNAcentral's name for it is "tRNA-Val". Lineage: Bacteria; Pseudomonadati; Pseudomonadota; Alphaproteobacteria. The record is from RNAcentral.